UUUCCGUUGGUGAACCAGCGGAGGGAUCAUUACAGAGUUGCAAAACUCCCAAACCAUUGUGAACGUUACCUAUCCCGUUGCUUCGGCGGGCGGCCCGGGCCCCGCGCCCGGCGCCCCCCGGCCCCCCGUGGGCGCCCGCCGGAGGUAAACCAAACCCUUGAAUUGCAUGGCCUCUCUGUGUCUUCUGUACUGAAUAAGUCAAAACUUUCAACAACGGAUCUCUUGGUUCUG
Molecule: unclassified non-coding RNA, 231 nt
Filed under: plant metagenome
Description: partial contains small subunit ribosomal RNA, internal transcribed spacer 1, and 5.8S ribosomal RNA
Source: RNAcentral